UACUCUCACACUCUCCGAUUUCAGAUCGGGAGUAGGUGGACUUGGAUGUUGCUGCUUUGUUGUCAGGCUCAUCUCAAAUGUCUUAGUGCAACUCUACUUGGACAUAGUACAGCGUGAUAAGUAUCUUUGCUGGCCCCCUCAUAAGAGGAUGUCCAAUUUGGAGCUCUGUGCUUCAAACUGUUCGGACAAUCUCCGACA
Molecule: unclassified non-coding RNA, 198 nt
Filed under: uncultured Sebacina
Lineage: Eukaryota; Fungi; Basidiomycota; Agaricomycetes; Sebacinales; Sebacinaceae
Description: sequence contains ITS2
Source: RNAcentral